Molecule: ribosomal RNA, 91 nt
Filed under: Staphylococcus aureus R0357
Lineage: Bacteria; Bacillati; Bacillota; Bacilli; Caryophanales; Staphylococcaceae
Also listed under: 1 other name
Source: RNAcentral
UGGUGACUAUAGCAAGGAGGUCACACCUGUUCCCAUGUCGAACACAGAAGUUAAGCUCCUUAGCGUCGAUGGUAGUCGAACUUACGUUCCG